GAAGGGGGCGAGCGUUGUUCGGAAUUACUGGGCGUAAAGGGCGCGUAGGCGCUCUUUAAGUUAGGCGUGAAAGCCCCGGGCUCAACCUGGGAACUGCGCUUAAAGACUAGAGAGCUAGAAAACUAAGAGGGUAGUGGAAUUCCCAGUGUAGAGGUGAAAUUCGUAGAUAUUGGGAAGAACACCAGUGGCGAAACGGCUACCUGGUCCGGAUUUGACGCUGAGGCGCGAAAGCGUGGGGAGCAAACAGGAUUAGAUACCCUGGUAGUCCACGCCGUAAACGAUGUCUCAUAGUGUCGGGGGUUGGCCCUUCGGUGUCGCCGUCAACGCAUUAAGCAGACCGCCUGGGGAGUACGGUCGCAAGAUUAAAGCUCAAAGGAAUUGACGGGGGCCCGCACAAGGCGUGGAGCAUGUGGUUUAAUUCGAAGCAACGCGCAGAACCUUACCAGUCCUUGACAUGAGAGUUGUUCCGAGGACGAUUCCUACGUUCGUCGUCUCACACAGGUGCUGCAUGGCUGUCGUCAGCUCGUGUAGUGAGAUGUUGGGUUAAGUCCCGCAACGAGCGCAACCCUCAUCUUUAGUUGCCAGCAGGUUAGGCCGGCACUCUAGAGAAACUGCCUGCGAUGAGAGGAGGAAGGUGGGGAUGACGUCAAGUCCUCAUGGCCCUUAUGGACUGGGCUACACACGUGCUACAAUGGCGGUGACAAUGGGCAGCGAAGGGGCGACCUGGAGCAAAUCCCAAAAAACCGUCCCAGUUCGGAUUGUACUCUGCAACUCGAGUGCAUGAAGUUGGAAUCGCUAGUAAUCGCGGUCAGCAUGCCGCGGUGAAUACGUUCCCGGGCCUU
This 842-nucleotide ribosomal RNA is filed under the name unidentified marine eubacterium. RNAcentral describes it as "bacterial SSU rRNA". It matches the Rfam family "Bacterial small subunit ribosomal RNA", at positions 527 to 1382 of the family's 1533-position model. The record is from RNAcentral.